GGGGAAUCUUGCGCAAUGGGCGAAAGCCUGACGCAGCGACGCCGCGUGAGUGAUGAAGGCCUUCGGGUUGUAAAGCUCUGUGGAGGGGGACGAAUAAGGGCCGUCGAACAGACGGCUCGAUGACGGUACCCCUUUAGCAAGCACCGGCUAACUCUGUGCCAGCAGCCGCGGUAAGACAGAGGGUGCAAACGUUGUUCGGAAUUACUGGGCGUAAAGCGCGUGUAGGCUGCUCUGCAAGUCGGAUGUGAAAGCCCUGGGCUCAACCUAGGAAGUGCACUCGAAACUGCAGAGCUUGAGUCUCGGAGAGGGUCGCGGAAUUCUCGGUGUAGAGGUGAAAUUCGUAGAUAUCGAGAGGAACACCGGUGGCGAAGGCGGCGACCUGGACGAUGACUGACGCUGAGACGCGAAAGCGUGGGGAGCAAA
Molecule: ribosomal RNA, 423 nt
Filed under: uncultured bacterium
Lineage: Bacteria
Description: bacterial SSU rRNA
Rfam family: Bacterial small subunit ribosomal RNA
Source: RNAcentral